RNAcentral lists this ribosomal RNA (449 nucleotides) under uncultured bacterium. RNAcentral's name for it is "partial 16S ribosomal RNA". It matches the Rfam family "Bacterial small subunit ribosomal RNA", at positions 29 to 523 of the family's 1533-position model. The record is from RNAcentral.
AGCGAACGCUGGCGGCAGGCUUAACACAUGCAAGUCGAGCGGGCCCUCCGGGGUCAGCGGCGGACGGGUGAGUAACGCGUGGGAACGUGCCUUCUGGUUCGGAAUAACUCAGGGAAACUUGAGCUAAUACCGGAUACGCCCUUUUGGGGAAAGGUUUACUGCCGGAAGAUCGGCCCGCGUCUGAUUAGCUAGUUGGUGGGGUAACGGCCUACCAAGGCGACGAUCAGUAGCUGGUCUGAGAGGAUGAUCAGCCACACUGGGACUGAGACACGGCCCAGACUCCUACGGGAGGCAGCAGUGGGGAAUAUUGGACAAUGGGCGCAAGCCUGAUCCAGCCAUGCCGCGUGAGUGAUGAAGGCCUUAGGGUUGUAAAGCUCUUUUAUCCGGGACGAUAAUGACGGUACCGGAGGAAUAAGCCCCGGCUAACUUCGUGCCAGCCGCCGCCGUAA